UAGCCGUAAACGAUACUCGCUAGGUGUCGGCCACGGUGCGACCGUUGUCGGUGCCGUAGGGAAGCCGUGAAGCGAGCCACCUGGGAAGUACGGCCGCAAGGCUGAAACUUAAAGGAAUUGGCGGGGGAGCACCUCAACGGGUGGAGCUUGCGGUUUAAUUGGAUUCAACGCCGGAAAUCUUACCGGGACCGACAGCAACAUGAAGGCCAGGCUGAAGACUUUGCCGGAUUAGCUGAGAGGAGGUGCAUGGCGUAGUCGUGU
This 261-nucleotide ribosomal RNA is filed under the name uncultured archaeon. RNAcentral's name for it is "partial 16S ribosomal RNA". It matches the Rfam family "Archaeal small subunit ribosomal RNA", at positions 748 to 1009 of the family's 1478-position model. The record is from RNAcentral.